Molecule: ribosomal RNA, 497 nt
Filed under: uncultured bacterium
Lineage: Bacteria
Description: partial 16S ribosomal RNA
Rfam family: Bacterial small subunit ribosomal RNA
Source: RNAcentral
AACGAACGCUGGCGGCGUGCCUAAUACAUGCAAGUUGAGCGCUGAAGGUUGGUACUUGUACCGACUGGAUGAGCAGCGAACGGGUGAGUAACGCGUGGGGAAUCUGCCUUUGAGCGGGGGACAACAUUUGGAAACGAAUGCUAAUACCGCAUAAAAACUUUAAACACAAGUUUUAAGUUUGAAAGAUGCAAUUGCAUCACUCAAAGAUGAUCCCGCGUUGUAUUAGCUAGUUGGUGAGGUAAAGGCUCACCAAGGCGAUGAUACAUAGCCGACCUGGGAGGGUGAUCGGCCACAUUGGGACUGAGACACGGCCCAAACUCCUACGGGAGGCAGCAGUAGGGAAUCUUCGGCAAUGGACGAAAGUCUGACCGAGCAACGCCGCGUGAGUGAAGAAGGUUUUCGGAUCGUAAAACUCUGUUGGUAGAGAAGAACGUUGGUGAGAGUGGAAAGCUCAUCAAGUGACGGUAACUACCCAGAAAGGGACGGCUAACUACGUG